This 440-nucleotide ribosomal RNA is filed under the name uncultured bacterium. RNAcentral describes it as "partial 16S ribosomal RNA". It matches the Rfam family "Bacterial small subunit ribosomal RNA", at positions 338 to 795 of the family's 1533-position model. The record is from RNAcentral.
CCUACGGGAGGCAGCAGUGGGGAAUAUUGCACAAUGGGGGAAACCCUGAUGCAGCGACGCCGCGUGAGGGAAGAAGGAUUUCGGUAUGUAAAGCCCUUUUAGUAGGGAAGAAAAUGACGGUACCUGACUAAGAAGCCCCGGCUAACUACGUGCCAGCAGCCGCGGUAAUACGGAGGGGGCAAGCGUUAUUCGGAUUUACUGGGUGUAAAGGGGGCGUAGGCGGCAGCACAAGUCAGGAGUGAAAUGCCAGGGCUUAACCCCGGAACUGCUUUGGAAACUGUGCAGCUAGAGUGCAGGAGAGGUAAGUGGAAUUCCUAGUGUAGCGGUGAAAUGCGUAGAUAUUAGGAGGAACACCAGUGGCGAAGGCGGCUUACUGGACUGUAACUGACGUUGAGGCGCGAAAGCGUGGGGAGCAAACAGGAUUAGAUACCCGUGUAGUC